CUAUCCCAUCGCCAUAUUGAACAAUAUGAUUGUUAAAACUUUCUGCACCUAUAGGGGUGUGAGUUGUUUUGUGAAUU
This 77-nucleotide transfer RNA is filed under the name Salmonella phage FSL SP-076. Its description in RNAcentral is "tRNA-Pro". The record is from RNAcentral. Lineage: Duplodnaviria; Heunggongvirae; Uroviricota; Caudoviricetes; Schitoviridae.